UACACAGAGCUAAACUGAGGCUGUUAUCCUGCAUGUUUCUAUCAGCCUUUGUAGUUGCUUUUGAUUUAUUUGUGCACUGAUUCUGUGUGCAUGUUGUAUGUUCAGAGCAGCUGCAAGCUAUCAUCGUCUCUUACCUGAUUUUCUGCCUUUCUUGGCUUUGCUUUAGGCAAGUAGUGGUUUGGGGGAGUGUAUCUGAAGAGGAAGAGAAAGGUGCUUCAGUGGAAUCGUUCCUGAUGGAAACACAAGCCAAACAGACUCAAAGAAGCAUUAACUUUUGGAGAAAAAAUACAUAGGCUUUGGGCCCAGUAUAUUCUUGGGGACACUUUCUUGAACAAAGAGAGAUUAACACAUUGGGAUCUGUUACUUUGGCAUAUUGUGAGUGAGCCCUCCAUAGAUGACCCACGAGAACUCUGGAAGCGGAAACAUUGAUUUGCUUAUUUGGGAAGAGACCUACGCAUUUGGAUAAUGGGGCAUUCCAACGUAUAUUGACCUGAAGUUAGAGCGGCUCAUUCAGCAUGGGACAGACGGCUGGGAUUUAGCGAAAAACAAGCCAACUUAAGGUGGAUAUGUAAAAGGGGGAUGAGAUGAAGAGAGUUAUAGCACCUAUUAUACAGUGAACAAGAAGAAGAUGGGGAAUACCGUACUCAUCAUACAUCUAGGAGGGAAUGACACAGGAAGUGGCAUGGUAACAGAACUGAGGGAGCAGAUCGAGGAUGUCUUCAAGUGGUUGGGGGUAGCUUGGAAGGGUGUUAGUCCUAUGUUUCAUGCUGAUAUCCAGACAGCAUUGGAGGUGGGAGACUCAGAGGGCGGUGUAUAGGAACAGAAAAAAGAACAACCAAACGGAAAAGACGGAAGUAAUUAAAAAAUUGGCCUUUGUAUCAGACUUUAGUGAGAUUAGUGUCAAGUUACAUAAAGUAAUGUGUAGGAAUUGGUUUAUGUUAAGGGAUUCUAUGCCUGACAUUGAGGCAUUUAAAAAUCCUCCUUUAUCUUCCUUUAGGAAAGGUAAUUCCAUUGGUAAACAAUUAGUAAGGGCUAAAGUUAAACCCUCAAGGAAUAUUCAAAGGGUGUUUAGACCAAUAGAAAAUGGAACCUUUCCGUGUUUAAGUUGUUCCCAUUGUAACAGCAUUAUUAAAGGUAAAACUAUUAGCCAUCCCUUCUCUGGUAAACUCUUUAAUAUCAAAGGUCACUAUAACUGUAAAUCUUCUUAUGUUGUGUAUGCGCUCAAAUGCCCAUGUGGCCUAUUAUAUAUUGGGGAAACAAUACAACCCCUUAAGGAUCGCUUAACACAACAUAAGCCUACUAUUAGGAACCCUAAAAUGCGACACCUUCCUGUCCCAUACCAUUUUUUUGAGAGGGGACAUCAGGUGAAUCAAUUGAGAUUUAUGGUAUUAGAUCAGGUGUCUAAAGGUACUGUAGGCUUAACAGGGAGAAAAUGUUACUGAAAAAAGAAGCUAUGUGGAUACAUAGACUUAGUACGUUAUACCCUAAAGGCCUUAAUAGGGAAUACAAUCUUACUGGCCUUUUCUAAUUUUUCUGUUGCUUUUUCUUAUAAUUCUUUUUGUAAGGCAUAUUGAAUAAAAAAUUAUGAAAAAUAAUUGAUGGUUGAGUAGGGAAGAACUAGAAUAGGGUUAUAAAUAUAUCAUAUAUUAACAUCUAAUAUUUGGUUCAGAUUUUUAGUGAAGAAAUGUAUAAGGAAUCCAAUUUAAGGUUUAAUUUGUCUAAUUAUGUUUGAUAUUAUAAUUAUUUAAUGAAAAAGAUUGUUUGUAUACAAAGAUGGUUAUUACUUUUGUUAUUAAUUGGUUUUCCUUUAAAAUGGUUUAUUUUUAGUUAAAAUUUGUUGGCACUUUAAAUUACUGACUAGUCACAUCAUGUUGUUUAUGAUGUCAUAAUUGAUAGGGGGUGGGACUGUUUGGCUAUUUAAGAACUGCAUGUUACAUUUAUUUUUAUUGAGCCUGAGGAGGGGGGUGUGAACCCCGAAACGUUGCUCUGUCUGUACUGCUGCCUAAGUAAAAAGCACAUUGAAUUGAA
Long non-coding RNA from Bombina bombina (fire-bellied toad), 2028 nucleotides. RefSeq lists it as uncharacterized. The record is from RefSeq and is a predicted model, not a curated record. The transcript has 3 exons. NCBI's taxonomy places the organism in Eukaryota, Metazoa, Chordata, Amphibia, Anura, Bombinatoridae.